RNAcentral lists this small nucleolar RNA (122 nucleotides) under Tupaia belangeri chinensis (Chinese tree shrew). RNAcentral describes it as "Tupaia chinensis (Chinese tree shrew) Small nucleolar RNA U3". It matches the Rfam family "Small nucleolar RNA U3". From Rfam's summary of the family: Small nucleolar RNAs (snoRNAs) are involved in the processing and modification of rRNA in the nucleolus. There are two main classes of snoRNAs: the box C/D class, and the box H/ACA class. U3 snoRNA is a member of the box C/D class. Lineage: Eukaryota; Metazoa; Chordata; Mammalia; Scandentia; Tupaiidae. The record is from Rfam by way of RNAcentral.
UAAUAGGAACUUUCAGGGAUCAUUUCUAUAGUACAUUACUAGAGAAGUUUCUCCGAUUGUGUAGGGCACAAAUGACUUUGGAUGUACAAAACAUUGAGAAUACUAAAAGAACCACUUGAAGU